AAUCCAUAGGUUAAUGAGGCGAACCGGGGGAACUGAAACAUCUAAGUACCCCGAGGAAAAGAAAUCAACCGAGAUUCCCCCAGUAGCGGCGAGCGAACGGGGAGGAGCCCAGAGCCUGAAUCAGCAUGUGUGUUAGUGGAAGCGUCUGGAAAGGCGCGCGAUACAGGGUGACAGCCCCGUACACAAAAGCGCAUGUGCUGUGAGCUCGAUGAGUAGGGCGGGACACGUGGUAUCCUGUCUGAAUAUGGGGGGACCAUCCUCCAAGGCUAAAUACUCCUGACUGACCGAUAGUGAACCAGUACCGUGAGGGAAAGGCGAAAAGAACCCCGGCGAGGGGAGUGAAAAAGAACCUGAAACCGUGUACGUACAAGCAGUGGGAGCACAGGUUUACCUGUGUGACUGCGUACCUUUUGUAUAAUGGGUCAGCGACUUAUAUUCUGUAGCAAGGUUAACCGAAUAGGGGAGCCGGAGGGAAACCGAGUCUUAACCGGGCGUUAAGUUGCAGGGUAUAGACCCGAAACCCGGUGAUCUAGCCAUGGGCAGGUUGAAGGUUGGGUAACACUAACUGGAGGACCGAACCGACUAAUGUUGAAAAAUUAGCGGAUGACCUGUGGCUGGGGGUGAAAGGCCAAUCAAACCGGGAGAUAGCUGGUUCUCCCCGAAAGCU
Molecule: ribosomal RNA, 667 nt
Filed under: Salmonella enterica subsp. enterica serovar Muenchen
Lineage: Bacteria; Pseudomonadati; Pseudomonadota; Gammaproteobacteria; Enterobacterales; Enterobacteriaceae
Also listed under: 1 other name
Description: partial 23S ribosomal RNA
Rfam family: Bacterial large subunit ribosomal RNA
Source: RNAcentral